Molecule: transfer RNA, 54 nt
Filed under: Sphaerirostris picae
Lineage: Eukaryota; Metazoa; Acanthocephala; Palaeacanthocephala; Polymorphida; Centrorhynchidae
Description: tRNA-Tyr
Source: RNAcentral
ACUGGAGAGUUUGGGUGGAAUACUUUAUUGUAAAUAAAGAGGGUUUCUAGUUAA